AAACUCAUUACUAGAUGUCGCUAGUGUCGCCCUUGUUAUUGUUACAUUGUUACAUCGUGAAAAGAGGCAAAAUGGGCGAAACAAUUGGUUGCUUAUUUAUACUUAUAUUCCUGUGAUUUCACAUACCAAAUUGAACUUCGUGACUUAUAUGCAUACUGUCAGUCAUUCCAACAGGUUGACUUAUCGCCCAGUCAAUUUCCAUCCAUUAGAUCCUCAUGCUGUCUAAAGCCUAAAACUCAUGUUUGAAGCACACAUAUAGUGGAAUACCAAUGUGCCGAGAUAAGGAUCUUUUCUGAAUCUCGCAAUUUUGGUGGCAUACCCUGCUACAGCAUGUUUGUUAUUAUGACU
This is a long non-coding RNA of Daphnia pulicaria, 348 nucleotides long. RefSeq lists it as uncharacterized. The transcript is spliced from 3 exons. The record is from RefSeq and is a predicted model, not a curated record. Lineage: Eukaryota; Metazoa; Arthropoda; Branchiopoda; Diplostraca; Daphniidae.